CCUACGGGUGGCAGCAGUGGGGAAUAUUGCACAAUGGGCGAAAGCCUGAUGCAGCAACGCCGCGUGAGCGAUGAAGGCCUUCUGGGCGUAAAGCUCUGUCCUCCAGGGAGAUAAUGACGUUACUUGCGGAGGAAGCCCCGGCUCCCUACGUGCCAGCAGCCGCGGUCAUACGUAGGGGGCUAGCGUUAUCCGGAAUUACUGGGCGUAAAGGGUGCGUAGGUGGUUUCUUAAGUCAGAGGUGAAAGGGUACGGCUCAACCGUAGUAAGCCUUUGAAACUGGGGAACUUGAGUGGAGGAGAGGAGAGCGGAAUGCCUAGUGUAGCGGUGAAAUGCGUAGAUAUUAGGAGGAACACCAGUUGCGAAGGCGGCUCGCUGGACUGUAACUGACACUGAGGCACGAAAGCGUGGGGAGCAAACAGGAUUAGAUACCCUAGUAGUC
RNAcentral lists this ribosomal RNA (439 nucleotides) under uncultured bacterium. Its description in RNAcentral is "partial 16S ribosomal RNA". It matches the Rfam family "Bacterial small subunit ribosomal RNA", at positions 338 to 795 of the family's 1533-position model. The record is from RNAcentral.